Passer domesticus (house sparrow) is the source of this 651-nucleotide long non-coding RNA. RefSeq lists it as uncharacterized. The transcript is spliced from 3 exons. NCBI's taxonomy places the organism in Eukaryota, Metazoa, Chordata, Aves, Passeriformes, Passeridae. The record is from RefSeq and is a predicted model, not a curated record.
UACUAGGAACUGAAUUGAAAUACUGGUAGGAAAAAUACAGCCAUCUAUUUCCAGAGUUAUACAUUGCUGGGCUGUAUCCACAUACAGGAUUUUUAGCUCUAAAAAGGUCCACACCAUAUCCUUUACCAGAGUAAAGCUGUUAUUAGCCUGCUAGUUUGUUUCCCAAGAAAGACAUGCCUAUUUGCAAGGCUAAUUAUUAUUAAUCACACUCCUCACCGACCCACUUAGGCUGUUGGAGAAGCUGGGGACAAUUUCUCACACACACAAGUGGCCCUGCACAUGCAGCAGCCCUGCUCUCUGUGUCCCCACGAGGUGCUGCUGAAUGUAUUCAACAAGGAUGGUGAAGGGCCUUGAGAGGAAGCCAUGUGAGGAGCAGCUGUGGUCACUUGGUGUGUUCAGCCUGGAGAAGAGGAGACUGAGAGGAGACCUCAUUGCAGUCCAGAAUUUCCUCAUGAGGAGAAGUGGAGUGGCUGCUGAUGCGUGCAGAGGAUACACUGAACACAAGGACUCUCCGUCUUCCCCUGGUCCAGCCAUCUGUGACUUAGACUUCAACACCUGAGGGAUGCAAUGUGUUUAUUUGCUACAGAGAGACUGACCUUUCCUUUUACAUUUAAUACCUUUGAGACCAUUUAUAUUCUUCAUCUCCAUGUC